AACCGCAUGCAGGUAAACGGGUGGCGUCAAGCUGCGAACCCAGAGGAUUCAGCUGACUAGGAUGUUGUGAUGUGCCUGGCGCAUCCAUCAGUCGGAAUAAGAUGUGAUAGUCCACUGGGAGACGGUGGGCCCGGCCGCAAGGUUGGGAUAUGUGUACCGGGUGUUAGCCGGAGCAUGCUAUUCAUCUGUUGGGCUGUCUAGUCAGUGCAUUUUCUCUGUGGUGAACACCACGACCGGUGGAAUUGCCAGUCUGCUGUAGUCGAUUCUUGCUGAGAGGGUCCUUGUGGCCAACUUGGUGAGAUCACAGGCAAUGUCAGUGUACGGCGUGGGAGUGCCUUUGGUGUUCCUACGUGUUAUCGGGUGCUGCUUGUCAACGGGCCUGCUCGGUAGUUGUUGUAACUGCUGCUGGGUGGUCUGGUGGGCUAUGGUGGUAAGAAAAACUGUGCAAGGCACCGGAGAUGUCGGCCCCAAGAGCUCUCUAUGCUGACACGUUACAAGUGUGAGGGGGUGCCAUUGCAGUUUGCCUGUUGUUGAGUCUGAUUGUCGUGUCGCCUGCGCAAAGUGGGCCCGGCAGUGGCUUGAUGCAGGAUGGGCUGUGGAUGGUGUCUCUCAGGUGUAGAGGGCAGUGGGCCCAAUAGUCAGUGGUGCUGUGGUAGACGAGCUACCCGACCCGUCUUGAAACACGGACCAAGGAGUUUAACAUGUAUGCGAGUCAAAGGGCCCUACGAAACCCCAAGGCGCAAUGAAAGUAAAGCUUCGACUUGUUCUCGGAGUGAGGUGAGAUCCUGCCGUAACUCGCAUCGCUUGGUGCCAGCAUCAGGCAAAGAGCGGUAGGCGCAUCACCGGCCCGUCCCAUGAUGUGGUCAUUGGAUGUCUGCGGUCGUUGGCAAC
RNAcentral lists this ribosomal RNA (891 nucleotides) under Paraorygmatobothrium typicum. RNAcentral's name for it is "partial large subunit ribosomal RNA". Lineage: Eukaryota; Metazoa; Platyhelminthes; Cestoda; Phyllobothriidea; Phyllobothriidae. The record is from RNAcentral.